This 1367-nucleotide long non-coding RNA is filed under the name Papio anubis (olive baboon). RNAcentral's name for it is "lncRNA (ENSPANG00000042282.1)". The record is from RNAcentral. Lineage: Eukaryota; Metazoa; Chordata; Mammalia; Primates; Cercopithecidae.
GGCUUAUGCUUAUAAUCCCAGCACUUUGGGAGGCUGAGAUGGGCAGAUUGCUUGAUCCCAGGAGUUUGAGACCAGCCUGGGCAACACAGCAAGACCCCAUCUCAAAAAAAAAAAAAAAAAAAAGCCACAAUUGACCGGGAAAUUUUGGUUACUUCUGUGGCAUACAACAAUUUUAUGUAAUAAUAUAACUAUUAAUAACAGACACUAAGUCAUAUAAGAAUUAUAGGAGUGUCAAAUAAUUUUGGAACACAUACCAGUAACAUAUACAAAUACAACCCAAAGAAAGUCAAAUACCAUUUCAUAUUUGACAAUGCUCCCUGUGUGAUUUUUAUACCAAAUAAGCCAAAUAUGUCUCUUUUGGACUUUAAGGGACCUAAUAUCCAAAAGAGUAAUUAGGUCAGAAGAAGACAUAAUUUAGAAAAUGAUUUUGGAAAGUUUAUUAAAUGUCAAAGAUUUAAACACUUGAUAUUGUAAAAUAGAAUCCUAGGUUACCAUAAGUCAUUCAUUUAGUCAAAAUGAUAACUCAAAAAAUUUUUUAAAGGCAGAAAACUUUGCUCAUUGAUAGAGGGAAGACUUAGCUUUCCAAACAAUCUGUCUCUUGUCUUUUCCUUCUUUUUCCUGUAGCUUAUUCAAAAGCCAAACAAAACUCAAACAUUUCUUUCUUUUUUUUUUUUGAGAUGGAGUCUCGCCCUGUUGCCCAGGCUGGAGUGCAGUGGUGCAAUCUUGGCUCACUGCAACCUCUGUCUGCCUCCCAGGCUCAAGUGAUUCUCUUACCUCAGCCUUGAGAUUACAGGCACAUGCCACUACAACCAGCUAAUUUUUGUAUUUUUAGUAGAGAUAGGGUUUCACCAUGUUGGCCAGGCUGGUCUCAAACUCCUGACCUCCCAUGAUACACCUGCCUCGGCCUCACAAAGUGCUGGGAUUACAGGCGUGAGCCACAGCACCAGCCUCAUUAAAUUUUUUUUUUAAUAUUACAUGAAAAUCUUAUUCAAGAAAGAAAACCAAAUUUCACCCUUGCAUUAGUAUACUACUGAUAUCAAACCCAGCUCUUAAUGAAAAUUUAUGGACAAAUUUAUCCAAUUUUAAUGUCUGACCAUAAGGUAAGAGUCUCAUAAACCUUUCAUAACCCUUUACAAUUUUUGUAAAAGAGCUUAUUAGUGCUCUAAGAAAACCAUAUUGUGCUUUUAUUCCAGUGUUCAAUUUACAGAAAAACUGAGUAAUACCCCUUUAACUUUAGCCAACAUGUUCACACACAGAAUUUCUUUUAUAAGAUUAUUUUUUCACAAACCUUCCACAACUUGCUCAAACCUUCAGCUUUAUCCUAAUAUAACAUAAAACAAUCCUUUAACCCUUUAGGUGAAAAAUCC